Molecule: non-coding RNA, 74 nt
Organism: Mycobacterium sp. 1100029.7
Lineage: Bacteria; Bacillati; Actinomycetota; Actinomycetes; Mycobacteriales; Mycobacteriaceae
Source: Rfam
GACGCCGCACAACUGGGCCGACGGUCGACUCCCGUGAGCGUAGGGGUUUCACGCCCGGCCCCGGAAAGCUGAAU